This is an RNA transcript of Ficedula albicollis (Collared flycatcher), 6481 nucleotides long. It is a transcript of the gene named Rap guanine nucleotide exchange factor 6, with no coding region annotated. The transcript has 32 exons. NCBI's taxonomy places the organism in Eukaryota, Metazoa, Chordata, Aves, Passeriformes, Muscicapidae. The record is from RefSeq and is a predicted model, not a curated record.
GCGGAGGGCUGGAGGAUGAGCGCCCCGGUGGAGCCCAGGAUCAAACAGGCGCUGCGGAAGAAGCCCGCGGAGCGCACUCCGGAGGACUUGAAUACUAUCUAUUCUUUUCUUCAUGGGCUGGACAUACUGUCACAUUUCAGGGAACAUCAACUAAGAAUAAUGUCAUCCAGUGCCCGCUAUGAGAGGUACAAGGGCAACCAAGUUCUCUUUUGCUCAGAAACUAUUGCAAGAUGCUGGUAUAUCCUGCUGUCUGGAUCUGUGCUCAUGAAAGAUUCAAUGUUUUUGCCACCUUGCAGUUUUGGCAAGCAGUCUGGGGGAAAGCGAGGAUGCGAAUGUAUCAUACUGGAACCUUCAGAAAUGAUUGUGGUGGAGAACUCUAAAGACAAUGAGGAAAACAUCUUGCAAAGAGAAGUCCCACUGCGGCAGUCCCGUCGGAGGUACAGGAGGAUCAACCAGAGGGGCGAGCGUCAGACCAUCACGGACAAUGUGGAUCCCAGCAGCUACGUGUCUCUUCCAGCUGACCUUACCAAGAUGCAUCUCACUGACAAUCCUCAUCCUCAGGUGACGCACGUCCCUUCAAGCCAGUCAGGCUGUAGCAUUGCCAGUGACUCUGGGAGCAGCAGCCUCUCUGAUAUUUAUCAGGCUACAGAAAGUGAGAUGGGAGAUGUUGAUUUAACGGGUCUUCCAGAAGCACCUGUAGACUCUGAAGAUGAGGAAGAGGAGGAGGAUGAAGAUAUCGACAGAACUUCUGAUCCACUUCUAGGGCGAGAUGUUGUCCGAGAGUGCCUGGAGAAGGAGCCUGCCGAUAAAACUGAUGAUGAUAUUGAGCAAUUAUUGGAAUUCAUGCAUCAACUCCCUGCCUUUGCAAACAUGACCAUGUCUGUGAGGAGAGAAUUGUGCUCAGUGAUGAUAUUUGAAGUUGUAGAGCAAGCAGGAGCCAUCAUUCUUGAAGACGGCCAGGAACUUGACUCUUGGUAUGUUAUUUUAAAUGGCACAGUAGAAAUCAGCUAUCCUGAUGGGAAGAGUGAGAGUCUCUGUAUGGGAAAUAGUUUUGGGAUUACUCCCUCUCUGGACAAACAGUACAUGAAUGGAGUGGUCAGAACCAAAGUAGAUGAUUGUCAGUUUGUAUGUAUAGCCCAGCAAGACUACUGGAGGAUUCUGAACCAUGUGGAAAAAAACACUCAUAAGGUGGAGGAAGAAGGAGAAAUUGUGAUGGUAAAGGAACACAGGGAGCUGGAUCGCAGUGGAACCAGAAAAGGACACAUAGUUAUCAAGGCAACACCCGAGAGACUCAUCAUGCACUUAAUAGAGGAACAUUCUAUUGUGGAUCCAACCUACAUUGAAGAUUUUCUUUUAACAUACAGAACAUUUCUCACAAGUCCCUUGGAAGUUGGAAAUAAGCUCUUGGAAUGGUUCACAGUGGACAGUCUCAGGGAUAAGGUUACCAGAGUAGUGUUACUGUGGGUGAACAAUCAUUUUAAUGACUUUGAAGGAGAUCCUGCCAUGACUCGAUUCCUGGAAGAAUUUGAAAAGAACUUGGAAGAUACGAAAAUGAAAGGCCAUCUCAGAUUGCUGAAUAUUGCCUGUGCUGCCAAAGCCAAAUGGAGACAAAUCACCCUGCAAAAGCCUUCCAGAGAUUCUCCCCUGUUUUUCAGCCUUCUUGGAGGCAGUGACAAGGGGUUUGGUAUUUUUGUAGAGACUGUGGAGAUAGGCAGUAAAGCAGCAGAAGCCGGACUUAAGCGUGGUGAUCAGAUAAUGGAAGUAAAUGGACAGAAUUUUGAGAACAUUACCUUUGUAAAAGCUCUGGAAAUCUUAAAAAAUAACACACAUCUCUCCAUCACUGUAAAAACAAACAUUUUUGUAUUUAAGGAGCUGCUCUGCAGGAUAGGACAGGAGAAGAAUGGAAUUCCACAUAUUCCGAAAAUUGCAGAAAAGAAAAACAACCGUUAUUCUAUCCCAGAUAUGCCUGGAGAUGUGGAACAGAUGUUUCCCCGUGAAAAAGGAAACAAGAAAAUGAAAGCAAACACUGUAUCUGGUGGAAGAAAUAGAAUCAGGAAAAUUUUAGACAAGACCCGUUUUAGUAUCUUGCCUCCAAAACUGUUCAGUGAUGGCAGCGUGAGCCAGUCGCAGGAUGACAGCAUCGUGGGGACUCGGCAGUGCCGGCACAGCCUGGCCAUCAUGCCCAUUCCAGGCACCCUCUCAUCGAGUAGCCCUGACCUGCUGCAGCCCACACCCAGCAUUCUGGAUUUCUCUAACCCUUCAGCUGUUGGGUUUUACUAUAUUCCAGAUCAAGUGAUACGAGUUUUCAAAGCGGAUCAGCAGAGCUGUUACAUCAUCAUCAGCAAAGACACUACAGCAAAGGAGGUGGUGUGUCAUGCUGUCCAUGAGUUCAACCUGACAGGAGCCCCAGAGACCUAUUCCCUGUGUGAGGUGUCCGUCAGCCCCGAGGGGGUCAUCAAGCAGCGGAGGCUCCCCGAUCAGUUCUCCAAGCUGGCUGACAGGAUUCAGCUCAAUGGACGGUAUUAUCUGAAAAACAAUAUGGAAACAGAGACCUUAUGCUCAGAUGAGGAUGCUCAGGAGCUACUCCGAGAGAGCCAAAUUUCCCUCCUGCAGCUGAGCACCAUUGAGGUGGCCACUCAGCUUUCCAUGAGGGACUUUGAAUUAUUCCGCAACAUUGAGCCAACAGAAUACAUUGAUGACCUUUACAAGCUGGACUCCAAGACAGGGAACGCUCACCUGAAACAGUUUGAGGAUGUCAUAAAUCAAGAGACCUUCUGGGUUGCCAUGGAAAUUUUAGCAGAACCCAACCAACUCAAAAGAAUGAAGAUUAUUAAGCAUUUCAUUAAAAUUGCUCUCCACUGUCGAGAAUGCAAGAACUUCAAUUCCAUGUUUGCAGUGAUAAGUGGGUUAAAUCUUGCACCGGUAGCUCGUCUCAGAGGCACUUGGGAAAAGUUACCCAGCAAGUAUGAAAAGCACCUCAGAGACCUUCAAGAUCUUUUUGAUCCAUCUCGAAACAUGGCAAAGUACCGCAACAUCCUCAGCAGCCAGAGCAUGCAGCCUCCAAUUAUCCCACUCUUCCCUGUUGUCAAGAAAGAUAUCACAUUUCUGCAUGAAGGCAAUGAUUCUAAAGUGGAUGGCCUAGUAAACUUCGAGAAACUCCGGAUGAUUGCCAAAGAAAUUCGCCAAGUUGUCCGCAUGACCUCAGCAAACAUGGAUCCAGCUGUGAUGUUCAGACAAAGGAAGAAGAGGUGGAGAAGUUUGGGGUCUCUGAGCCAGGGCAGCAUGAACUCGAACAUGCUGGAUGUGCAGGGAGGGGCUCACAAGAAGCGUGCCCGCCGCAGCUCCCUGCUGAAUGCCAAGAAGCUCUAUGAGGAUGCACAGAUGGCCAGGAAGGUGAAGCAGUACCUGUCCAACCUCAGUGUAGAGACAGACGAGGAAAAGAUCCAAAUAUUGUCACUUCAGUGUGAACCUGCAUACAGCACUUUGACAAAGAAUUUAGGUGAGAGAAGAGGAGGGAAAUCCUCUGAAAUGUCUCCAGUGCCCAUGAGAUCAAUUGGCCAAACCACAAAAGCCCAUCAGCAUCAACAAAACCGAAUGAGUCAAGUUCUUCAGGUCCCAAGUGUGAAUUUGUACCCCAGCAGGAAAAAGGGACUGACAAAGGAUCAUGUCACAUUCAGUACAGGCUCUCCACAGAAGUCAUUAAGCUUGUCUGAGGAAGUAAGUAGUAAGAAGCAAACAGAUGAUACUAUGUCCAUGGCAUCUUCUCUACACUCCAGCCCACCUGCUUCUCCUCAGGGCUCCCCACGCAAAGUUGGCAACAUCCAAAGGUCGGAUAACUGCAGUCAGAUGAAUCUCUCUGGCUCUUCCUCAUCACUGGCCAGUGAAACCAGCAACAAGAACAGUGGACAGCGCAGCUAUGGAAUAGGCUAUGCCCUAAUACCUUCCACCAAAUCCGACAACUUCUCGGACUCCAGUCACAGUGAGAUUUCAUCGCGCUCCAGCAUUGUGAGCAACUGCUCUGUGGACUCCAUGUCAGCAGCACUGCAGGAUGAGAGGAGCCUGUCCCAGUCCCUCAUUGCAGUGGAUGCAGGCGGGGCAGAGAGGAAGGAGCAUCCUCAGGCACUGACAGAUUAUGGCCAGCCCUGCCCGGGCUGGUCCAUCACUAGGCCUGCUCUGAUAAGAGGGAUGGCAUUCACAUCUUCCAUGAGCACCGAGGAGAUCUCCCACGAGCACAUCACAGUCGAGGCAGCAGACAGUGGCCGGGGAAGCUGGACUUCAUGCUCAAGUAGUUCUCAUGACAAUUUCCAGAAUAUCCCAAACCAGAAGAGCUGGGAUUUGCUCAGUUCUUACCGUCACACCCAGCUAGAUGGACCCAUUGCUGAAGUGGAUCCCACAAACUGUUACUCUGAGGAGGGUUAUUUGUAUUCCGAAGCCUUUUCCAAAGGCAGCAGGCAGUCGAAAGGCAGCGUGGAGCUUGAUCAGUCUCGGCAGAGCUGGGCAUCCUCCAGCUCCCUCUCAGACACCUACGAGACAAACUAUGGGACAAUUAAGCGGAGGGGGCUGGAGAACUCCACGGUGGAGCAGAUGGAGGGUUUGGACUCUAAACCAGGCGCUGAUACAACUUACAAAACUGUUACUUCGAGUACAGAAAAAGGCCUGAUAGUGUACUGUGUCACCUCACCUAAGAAGGACGAUAGGUAUAGGGAGCCACCGCCCACCCCUCCAGGAUAUAUGGGGAUUUCUUUAGCCGACAUAAAGGAAGGAUCGCCCCACCACCCACACCUCAAACCUCCAGACUAUAGUGUGGCAGUGCAGAGGUCAAAGAUGCUGCACAGUGACCUCUCUAGACUUCCAGCAGCUGCUGUCGGUAGUGACCCGGUGGCCUGUGUCUCCUCAAGGACGCCUCAGUGGCACGGCCCGUCCAGCCCCAGAGUAGCAGAGCUGCCUGACGCAGCUAGUGAAGAGGAUGAAGAUGAACAAGUAUCAGCAGUUUAACCCUUGGGCUAUUUAUAUAAACCACUCACAAGCAUGUGGGAGAAGGUCUCAUGGUUCUGUUAGCGACUGCUGAUGACUUGCUGCUACUGACCUCAGACCUUGCCUCUGUCACAGACAAGAUGGAACGGGUUGGAUCACCUCUUCACACCUUCCUUCACUCUGCCACCACCACCUAAGAAGCUAUUUCUGCCUAUGAAAUAGAAAAUCCUGUUCAAGGAAUGUGCUGACUGCCUGGAUACCAAUGGGUGCAAGGUGAAUACAACAUUUUUGGAAAAUGCCAAAAGUACCAAAAACAACCCAAAGCCUUUGAUGUGCUUUCUCCAUAGUAGCUAGUGGCUGAUGCAGCCAGGUGGAUAUGAAUGACCCAGCCUGUGUCUGCCUUCAGAGCAGUACCAGGUUCAACAUUGUCUGGAAUGUACCUGUCAUGAUAGGAACUGGGAAGCUGGAAAUGAACAGUGAUGCUGAGGAAGAGGAUUCCUAAUUUAUAACUCACUGGUUGCCUGUAUGAAUUUUUGACGCAAGUAUCAGAGAAGCAAAUGGUUGAAAAAAUAUAUUAAAAUCCACUUGAGGUAUGGCAUAAUAAAUGCAUUUUGCUUUCUCAAGGCCUUAAUGUGUAUAAUGAACUUGCACGGGUCUUAAUGACUAAAGAUUAAUGUUUCAAAGCAAUGCAGGCCAGAGUAGGUGUUUUCAGCACGUGCAAUAUUGAUAAUUGAAUUCUUGAACUGAUAUUCCUGUGGGAUGUCACCUGUAGUUGCUUGUUAACUUCUAUAUGGAAACAGCAGGCUUUGAGUUCCAUCAGAAAUCAUUUGCAUUGUGCCAGGUGAAUGAAAUCAUACAGUUCCUUGGCUUUGGGGGGGAGCUGCAACUUAUCCCAGCCUGUUGAACAGAAGUAUAGGGGAUGGGGAUUACUAAAGUGGCUUCCUUUUACCCCAAAACCCAAUAGUGCUGCCUUUGAGGAUGCAGGGAACCCCUGUGGGGGGAGCAGGGUCAGGGUCUUCUAGCAGUCAGAAAGAGCAGCUGAAUAAAUCACCCAUCCAAACAUGGUGUUGUUUGAUGGUGUUUGCACAUCAACAGGAUCCAUCUGUUCCACAGGCCUUGGCCAACACUGAAAAGUUCUGGAAUGAGUGAAAGCCUCACUAAUAGUAUUUUCCUAAUAGCCAACACAGCUGGUGUACAUAAAUCAUACAUGAACUAUGGACAGAUGAACUGCUCCUGCUACUCCUGCCUUGCAGUGUGGCUUCUCUGCUGCUCCUUGCUGGGGUUUUGUUUGUUUGUUUUUAACUGAACCGAUCACAUUGAUUGGGGCCAAUAGCCAAAUAUAGAGUGUGUGGUGUGGGUUUGAAGAGACAUUAUCCCUUUUUUUUGUAAUGCAGACAGAAGCAAUAUGGUGGCUAGUACCUGUUGUACAUUGCUUUGUUGAAGUGAUGUCUUCUGGACCACAGAUCCCUGACUCUAUACCUCUGCUAGAUUCUUCUAACUCGGGCUC